RNAcentral lists this non-coding RNA (44 nucleotides) under marine metagenome. The record is from RNAcentral.
GUUGGCUUGCCAACUACGACGAUAAACGAAUUUCGUAAUAACCA